GACGAACGCUGGCGGCGUGCUUAACACAUGCAAGUCGAACGGUGACCCAGGGCUUGCCCUGGUGAUCAGUGGCGAACGGGUGAGUAACACGUGGGCAACCUGCCCCUGACUUCGGGAUAACUCCUCGAAAGAGGAGCUAAUACCGGAUACGACCACUUCGGACAUCCGAUGGUGGUGGAAAGUUUUUCGGUCAGGGAUGGGCCCGCGGCCUAUCAGCUAGUUGGUGGGGUAAUGGCCUACCAAGGCGACGACGGGUAGCCGGCCUGAGAGGGCGACCGGCCACACUGGGACUGAGACACGGCCCAGACUCCUACGGGAGGCAGCAGUGGGGAAUAUUGCGCAAUGGGCGAAAGCCUGACGCAGCGACGCCGCGUGAGGGAUGAAGGCCUUCGGGUUGUAACCUCUUCUAGCAGGACGAAGCGAAAGUGACGGUACCUGCAGAAGAAGCACCGGCUAACUACGUAGCCAGCAGCCGCGGUAA
Molecule: ribosomal RNA, 481 nt
Filed under: uncultured bacterium
Lineage: Bacteria
Description: bacterial SSU rRNA
Rfam family: Bacterial small subunit ribosomal RNA
Source: RNAcentral